Molecule: ribosomal RNA, 409 nt
Filed under: bacterium
Lineage: Bacteria
Also listed under: 1 other name
Description: partial 16S ribosomal RNA
Rfam family: Bacterial small subunit ribosomal RNA
Source: RNAcentral
UGGGGAAUAUUGCACAAUGGGCGAAAGCCUGAUGCAGCGACGCCGCGUGAGGGAUGACGGCCUUCGGGUUGUAAACCUCUUUCAGCAGGGACGAAGCGCAAGUGACGGUACCUGCAGAAGAAGCACCGGCUAACUACGUGCCAGCAGCCGCGGUAAUACGUAGGGUGCAAGCGUUGUCCGGAAUUACUGGGCGUAAAGAGUUCGUAGGCGGUUUGUCGCGUCGUUUGUGAAAACCAGCAGCUCAACUGCUGGCUUGCAGGCGAUACGGGCAGACUUGAGUACUGCAGGGGAGACUGGAAUUCCUGGUGUAGCGGUGAAAUGCGCAGAUAUCAGGAGGAACACCGGUGGCGAAGGCGGGUCUCUGGGCAGUAACUGACGCUGAGGGACGAAAGCGUGGGUAGCGAACAGG